Molecule: non-coding RNA, 2055 nt
Organism: Physcomitrium patens
Lineage: Eukaryota; Viridiplantae; Streptophyta; Bryopsida; Funariales; Funariaceae
Source: RefSeq, a predicted model, not a curated record
UCUCUUAUUCUUCGUGUAAUGCACUUGAGCUCUCCUGUUUUGGUUGAAAAGAUGUUGAGACUGAAGUAGUUGUGCUACUUAAUUGGGGUUGAGGUUGUGGUUGGAAUUAGAGGAUUGUUGGAAGUUUUGAGGAACUUGUUGAGUUGAGUGAACGUUUUAGAUUUCACCUACUGCAUCCGGACAGAAAAUCAUCUGCUAAUUGAUUUCGAAGGUCAUGAGUUCCAAAGGAGUGAACGAGAAGCAAACAAAUUUGACUUGCAGGGAAAACGAUUGGCAACGUUGUAGUAUCUGGCGUGCGUUGUUGUGAGGGUUCGUUUUUUUGCGAUUGUGCGAGACUGCCUCAUUUCCUAGAACGUGAAGAGGUUUUGGAGCUGGAAGAUUCAACGUGAUUGCAUAGCGUUUCCUUGACCUACUCAUUGAUUGUCUAAAAUCGCUCGAUUGAAUUACCACUUUCUCUUUCAUUUAAUUUCGCGAUUCGAAUUGUAUGUACACUUCCAAAACAGAGAUAUAAACCCUACCCAUAUCCUUAAAACUGCUGGUUGAUCACUUGGAGAGGUCAUGAUUUAACUUCGGAGUCAAACAUUUUUCCCGCUAUCAAUCUUCUUCAUGACCUAGAGCUGUUCCUUUGUUAGGCAAUUGUGGUCAUUGUUGAGCAUCACUUCGCGGAGAGCAGUGAGGAUGAAGGAAGCAUUCCAAGUGUAGAGAUACAUUUUUGACGCUGUGCUUUCCGUACAAAAAAAGCCUACCAUUAGAGCCUCUAGACUAGUAUCAACCAAGGCAUAGUAUUCUUUACUCAAAUUCCGUAUUCAUCUGGAAUCAUCAGAACUAGAUAUUUUUUUGCUUCAAUGUUUAACUGCCCCUGAGGCUCGUGGAAGAAGUUCGCUAUGACGGUGUUGAAGAUACUUUCCUGCCUUCAUGGAGCAGGAUCUUCAUGUAAUUACUUCAACGACAAGCUAAAGCUUGGCUCUAAACCUAAGCAUGCUGUCUCUUCAAUAGUUGUCUUCCCAACUACCCAAGGGCCUAUGAGGAAGUGUCACAAAAUACUGGGUUCAAUUGGAUUCGGACAGAGCAGUUAUAUGGGAGGGCAUGAGAGAUUGAUCAACCUCAGUAUUGGGAGUCGUUCUCAGGUUUUGAAGUACACAAUUUUUUUCUCUGAUGUCAGUUUAGAAAGCAAAAGAGAGACAAUUUUGCAUGUAAGAAUAGGAGGGUUGUAGUCCGUAUGACCUUUGAACUUUGCGAUGUUGUGAUCAGCCGAUAUCCGCUAGUAAUGGUGACAAACACAGACAUUACUUCACCUGGUCUAAUAGGGCAACAGUAUUGAUAAUUCAUGUCAGAAAGGAGACAAGGUAUUGCACUCACUCGAGCAGAAUAUCUGCCCGUAAUGGCAUGUUUACCAGACCUCCUGGCAACGAUUCAUGGCUCGGGAGGUUACUGAAACUCUACAAGGUUCUCGGAGAAGGAGAAGGGGAUCUUCAGAAGACCGCAGUUCUGGAUAUCCAUAUCAAAUUUUCUCUAUCAAAUCUUAAAAGCGUUGCAGAUUCUGUGUGUAUGUUCGGUCCACGUUGGUUCAAAUUACUGAAAGGAGCUCAGUCUUUGAUUAACCCCUCUCUCCAGAAUGGUGGAGGAGGGAACAAGGAUGGAGAUCUCCACAGCCGUUUCAGGUAUGGUGGUGACAAUGACUCAGACAAGAGCAAAGGAGCCGCCAAAGCAAGAACAACUUAUUGAUCUAUCAAUGGUGGGCCUUGGGUGUCGCCUUCACGUCAAUAUUAGUUUGGGCACUGGGGGCUUACAGCGGAAUUCUACAGCGUAGUAGAUUAUUAGUCUCGCAAUUUGAGGAUUGUGUGUUAUGGCUUGGUUCGAUGUGGUGCAUGGCAGCGUUUUUUCUCUGGACUGCGCGGAUUAUCAUCUCCUUGAUACCAGUCAGUGGAAGCCACGGCAAUUGCUGGAAUCUCUUCAAGUCCGAGAACGCCCUCUUCGUAACAAGAGAGUUUGUUGCGAACUUAAAGCUCGAUGAAUGGAUGGCACACAAUGGGUGGUUGUGCCGAGUUUAACGAU